Molecule: ribosomal RNA, 253 nt
Filed under: uncultured bacterium
Lineage: Bacteria
Description: partial 16S ribosomal RNA
Rfam family: Bacterial small subunit ribosomal RNA
Source: RNAcentral
GACGUAGGGCGCGAGCGUUGUCCGGAAUUAUUGGGCGUAAAGGGCUCGUAGGCGGUCUGUUGCGUCGGGAGUGAAAACUCAGGGCUUAACCCUGAGCCUGCUUCCGAUACGGGCAGACUAGAGGUAUGCAGGGGAGAACGGAAUUCCUGGUGUAGCGGUGAAAUGCGCAGAUAUCAGGAGGAACACCGGUGGCGAAGGCGGUUCUCUGGGCCUGUUCUGACGCUGAGGAGCGAAAGCGUGGGGAGCGAACAGG